RNAcentral lists this ribosomal RNA (750 nucleotides) under uncultured bacterium. Its description in RNAcentral is "bacterial SSU rRNA". It matches the Rfam family "Bacterial small subunit ribosomal RNA", at positions 1 to 763 of the family's 1533-position model. The record is from RNAcentral.
UCGAUUGAGUUUGAUCAUGGCUCAGGACGAACGCUGGCGGCGUGCUUAACACAUGCAAGUCAAGGGGGCCCAGCAAUGGGCAACCGGCGAACGGGUGCGUAACACGUGAGCAACCUUCCGAAAUAUGGGGGAUAGCCGGCCUAACGGCCGAGUAAUACCGCAUACGCUCUCGAUGAGGCAUUUCAUUGAGAGGAAACCUACGGGGUAUUUCGAGGGGCUCGCGGCCUAUCAGCUAGUUGGCGAGGUAACGGCUCACCAAGGCAACGACGGGUAGCUGGUCUGAGAGGAUGGCCAGCCACAUUGGGACUGAGAUACGGCCCAGACUCCUACGGGAGGCAGCAGUGGGGAAUCUUGCGCAAUGGCCUAACGGCUGACGCAGCGACGCCGCGUGUGGGAUGAAGCUCUUCGGAGUGUAAACCACUGUUGCCCGGGACGAAUAGCUCGAUUAAUCGAGCCUGACAGUACCGGGUGAGGAAGCACCGGCUAACUCCGUGCCAGCAGCCGCGGUAAUACGGGGGGUGCGAGCGUUGUCCGGAAUCACUGGGCGUAAAGGGCGCGUAGGUGGUUUGAUAAGGGUGUGGUGAAAGUCCGGGGCUCAACCCCGGAUCUGCCGUGCCGACUGUCAAACUCGAGGACUGUAGAGGCAGACGGAAUUCCGGGUGUAGCGGUGGAAUGCGUAGAGAUCCGGAGGAAGACCGGUUGCGAAGGCGGUCUGCUGGGCAGUUUCUGACACUGAGGCGCGACAGCGUG